CCCUUAGAUGUCCGGGGCUGCACGCGCGCUACACUGAAGGAAUCAGCGUGCUAAAACCAUUGUCGAAAGGCAUUGGUAAACCCAUUAAAAUCCUACGUGAUUGGGAUCGGGAAUUGCAAUUAUUUCCCUUGAACGAGGAAUUCCCAGUAAGUGCGGGUCAUAAGCUCGCGUUGAUUACGUCCCUGCCCUUUGUACACACCGCCCGUCGCUGCCCGGGACUGAGCCGUUUCGAGAAAAGCGGGGACUGCUGCUGUCGGGGCUUUCGGGCCUUGGCUUCGGUGGAAACCGCUUUAAUCGCAGUGGCUUGAACCGGGCAAAAGUCGUAACA
This 328-nucleotide ribosomal RNA is filed under the name uncultured eukaryote. RNAcentral's name for it is "partial 18S ribosomal RNA". It matches the Rfam family "Eukaryotic small subunit ribosomal RNA", at positions 1470 to 1796 of the family's 1831-position model. The record is from RNAcentral.